UGGAGUAUAACUCAGUGGUAGAGCAUUUGCUUAGCAAUCAAAAGGCUAUGGCUUCAAGCCCUAGUACUACAC
RNAcentral lists this transfer RNA (72 nucleotides) under Heterocephalus glaber (naked mole-rat). It matches the Rfam family "tRNA". From Rfam's summary of the family: Transfer RNA (tRNA) molecules are approximately 80 nucleotides in length. Their secondary structure includes four short double-helical elements and three loops (D, anti-codon, and T loops). Lineage: Eukaryota; Metazoa; Chordata; Mammalia; Rodentia; Bathyergidae. The record is from Rfam by way of RNAcentral.